This 482-nucleotide ribosomal RNA is filed under the name uncultured bacterium. Its description in RNAcentral is "partial 16S ribosomal RNA". It matches the Rfam family "Bacterial small subunit ribosomal RNA", at positions 30 to 507 of the family's 1533-position model. The record is from RNAcentral.
AUUGAACGCUGGCGGCAUGCUUUACACAUGCAAGUCGAACGGUAACAGGCCGCAAGGUGCUGACGAGUGGCGAACGGGUGAGUAAUGCAUCGGAACGUGCCCAGUCGUGGGGGAUAACUACUCGAAAGAGUAGCUAAUACCGCAUACGAUCUACGGAUGAAAGCGGGGGACCGUAAGGCCUCGCGCGAUUGGAGCGGCCGAUGUCAGAUUAGGUAGUUUGUGGGGUAAAGGCUCACCAAGCCAACGAUCUGUAGCUGGUCUGAGAGGACGACCAGCCACACUGGGACUGAGACACGGCCCAGACUCCUACGGGAGGCAGCAGUGGGGAAUUUUGGACAAAGGGCGCAAGCCUGAUCCAGCAAUGCCGCGUGCAGGAAGAAGGCCUUCGGGUUGUAAACUGCUUUUGUACGGAACGAAACGGCUCUGGUUAAUACCCGGGGCUAAUGACGGUACCGUAAGAAUAAGCACCGGCUAACUACGUG